This 253-nucleotide ribosomal RNA is filed under the name uncultured bacterium. RNAcentral describes it as "partial 16S ribosomal RNA". It matches the Rfam family "Bacterial small subunit ribosomal RNA", at positions 524 to 776 of the family's 1533-position model. The record is from RNAcentral.
UACGGAGGGUGCAAGCGUUAUCCGGAUUCACUGGGUUUAAAGGGUGCGUAGGCGGGCAGGUAAGUCCGUGGUGAAAUCUCUGAGCUUAACUCAGAAACUGCCAUGGAUACUAUUUGUCUUGAAUAUUGUGGAGGUAAGCGGAAUAUGUCAUGUAGCGGUGAAAUGCUUAGAUAUGACAUAGAACACCAAUUGCGAAGGCAGCUUACUACACAGUUAUUGACGCUGAGGCAUGAAAGCGUGGGGAUCAAACAGG